Molecule: ribosomal RNA, 311 nt
Filed under: uncultured soil bacterium
Lineage: Bacteria
Description: bacterial SSU rRNA
Rfam family: Bacterial small subunit ribosomal RNA
Source: RNAcentral
AGAAUCAACGCUGGCGGCGUGCCUCAGACAUGCAAGUCGAACGAUUAAAGCUCUCUUCGGAGAGUGUAUAGAGUGGCGCACGGGUGAGUAACACGUAAGUAAUCUGCCUUUGGAGUGGGGAAUAACGUUCGGAAACGGACGCUAAUACCGCAUAAUGCAGCGGCACCGCAAGGUGACAGUUAGUUAAAGGAGCAAAUCCGCUUUAAAAGAGGGAGCGUUGCGGCAGAUUAGCUAGUUGGUAAGGUAAUGGCUUACCGAAGGCUACGACUCUGUAACCGGUCUAAGGAGGACGGUCGGUCACACUAGACACU